GCGUCCCUGCGGUGUUCGAGAGUGUACUGGGUAUUUUCUUGAGCCUAUGUUUUAUACCCCGGGGCUGAACGUUUUUCUCCUGUGUGCAUGUCCGCGAUCCCAGCGGAAAGCCUGAGGAAGGAAAACCCAAGCUCCACCUGAACCCAUGGUUCAAGGCGAAAGUUCACUACGGCACAGGCGGGGUUCGC
RNAcentral lists this non-coding RNA (188 nucleotides) under Chromatiales bacterium. RNAcentral describes it as "6S RNA". It matches the Rfam family "6S / SsrS RNA". From Rfam's summary of the family: E. coli 6S RNA was the first non coding RNA to be sequenced, but its function was unknown until recently. The record is from RNAcentral. Lineage: Bacteria; Pseudomonadati; Pseudomonadota; Gammaproteobacteria; Chromatiales.